This 299-nucleotide ribosomal RNA is filed under the name uncultured bacterium. RNAcentral's name for it is "partial 16S ribosomal RNA". It matches the Rfam family "Bacterial small subunit ribosomal RNA", at positions 335 to 650 of the family's 1533-position model. The record is from RNAcentral.
AUCCCUACGGGACGCAGCAGUGGGGGAUAUUGCACAAUGGGGGAAACCCUGAUGCAGCGACGCCGCGUGAGUGAAGAAGUAUUUCGGUACGUAAAGCUCUAUCAGCAGGGAAGAAUAAUGACGGUACCUGACUAAGAAGCCCCGGCUAACUACGUGCCAGCAGCCGCGGUAAUACGUAGGGGGCAAGCGUUAUCCGGAUUUACUGGGUGUGAAGGGAGCGUAGACGGUUACGCAAGUCUGGAGUGAAAGGCGGGGGCCCAACCCCCGGACUGCUUUGGAAACUGUAUAACUGAAGUGCA